GGGUUGUGAGGUUAAGCGACUAAGCGUACACGGUGGAUGCCCAGGCAGUCAGAGGCGAUGAAGGGCGUGCUAAUCUGCGAUAAGCGUCGGUAAGGUGAUAUGAACCGCAAUACCCGACGAUACCCGAAUGGGGAAACCCAGUGCAAUCCGUUGCACUAUCAUGUCAUGAAUACAUAGUGGCAUGAGGCGAACCGGGGGAACUGAAACAUCUAAGUACCCCGAGGAAAAGAAAUCAACCGA
This 240-nucleotide ribosomal RNA is filed under the name Erwinia amylovora. RNAcentral's name for it is "partial 23S ribosomal RNA". It matches the Rfam family "Bacterial large subunit ribosomal RNA", at positions 1 to 232 of the family's 2925-position model. The record is from RNAcentral. Lineage: Bacteria; Pseudomonadati; Pseudomonadota; Gammaproteobacteria; Enterobacterales; Erwiniaceae.